CUUAGGAGCUUCCUUUUCACCAGACAUGGAGGAAAAGGAAGCUCUGGGAGUGAACAGUACAGCGACCACUAAGACUGAGACCUGUGGACAAGGACAAAAAGGAGGCGCAAAGCGUGGCUCUAGCUCAAAAGAAGACUUAUGAGUCUUCUUUUCAAGAAACAAUGAGACACAAUCAAGAAACCUUUUCUUCAAUCUCAAACAUCAACAGUGAGCAUCUCCAAGAUGCUUCAGCUGGAUCUCUCUUAAUGACGACAGGCUUCUCACGUCAGAAGCAAGUGAGCCACAAAGGUCUCCAGUCUCUUGUCUCCUCCACCACGCAGUCAGCGUCCAGUGAGCAAAGCAUCCAGCUGUAUCCUUUGCCAAAAGCUGGACUCAUCUGCGUCUUGUCUACAUUGUGUCUCUCCUCUUGGUUUACUGAGCUCUCAAAUUCUGCAUUUAUGUCCUAUUCCUGGGCAUAGGAAUAUGGGCACUUGUCUCUAGACAGGAUGAAAAUUUGACAUCUUUUGACCCACUUAGGUAUGCAGUGGCUCACACCUGUAACCCCAGCACUUUGGGAGGCCAAGGCAGGCACAUCACUUGAGGUUAGGAGUUCAAGACCAG
Molecule: long non-coding RNA, 600 nt
Filed under: Homo sapiens (human)
Lineage: Eukaryota; Metazoa; Chordata; Mammalia; Primates; Hominidae
Description: HSALNT0124009
Source: RNAcentral